Non-coding RNA from Callithrix jacchus (white-tufted-ear marmoset), 823 nucleotides. The record is from RefSeq and is a predicted model, not a curated record. Lineage: Eukaryota; Metazoa; Chordata; Mammalia; Primates; Cebidae.
AUGCAUCCAGCCCCACAUAGUGCACCCCAGUCUCUGACUCACACAAUCCACGCUCAACCACCAGAAUUGCCGCUUAAUUCUUCAUCCUGGUUAAUGGCACCUAGAGUCUUCUGCUCAAGGAAGAUAAAGUCCCAGCUCCCAGUAUCUGUGGGAGGAAAGGAUUCUGGCUUGGGUAGGAGUCUUGCUUUAAGCUGUAAGGCAGCCGUCAAUCACGUGGUCAAUGUGUACCUGUAGGCCUCCUAGACCUACCUCUCUCUGGGCUACUAUUUCGACCGCGAUGAUGUAGCUCUGGAAAGCGUGAACCACUUCUUCCGCGAAUUGGCCGAGGGGAAGCGCGAGGGCUACGAGCGUCUCCUGAAGAUGCAAAACCAGUGUGACAGUCAUGCUCUCUUUCAGGACAUCAAGAAGCCGGCUCAAGAUGAGUGGGAUAAAACCCUGGACGCCAUGGAAGCCGCCAUGACCCUGGAGAAAAAUCCGAACCAGGCCCUUUUGGAUCUUCAUGCCCUAGGUUCUGCCCGCACGGACCCCCAUCUCUGUGACUUCCUGGAGAGUCACUUCCUAAAUGAGGAAGUGAAAAUCAUCAAGAAGAUGGGUGACCACCUUCUGCAGGCUGGCCGACCCACAGGCUGGGCUGGGCAAGUAUCUCUUUGAAAGUCCCACUCUCAAGCACGACUACUGAGCCCGGCCACUUAGGAAGGGCCUUUGCAAAGUAACAGCGCUUCUGCCUAAUCCUCUCCCUCCAGCCACUAGGCAGCUUUCUAACUACCCUUACAAGCCUUGGACCAAAUAGAAAUAAAGCUAUUUGAAGCAAAAAAAGAAAAAA